RNAcentral lists this ribosomal RNA (491 nucleotides) under uncultured bacterium. RNAcentral describes it as "bacterial SSU rRNA". It matches the Rfam family "Bacterial small subunit ribosomal RNA", at positions 802 to 1298 of the family's 1533-position model. The record is from RNAcentral.
GUAAACGAUGAGCACUAGGUGUCGGGGUCGCAAGACUUCGGUGCCGCAGUUAACGCAUUAAGUGCUCCGCCUGGGGAGUACGUUCGCAAGAAUGAAACUCAAAGGAAUUGACGGGGACCCGCACAAGCGGCGGAGCAUGUGGUUUAAUUCGAAGCAACGCGAAGAACCUUACCAGGACUUGACAUCCUUCUGACAGGACCUUAAUCGGUCCCUCCUUCGGGCAGAAGAGACAGGUGGUGCAUGGUUGUCGUCAGCUCGUGUCGUGAGAUGUUGGGUUAAGUCCCGCAACGAGCGCAACCCUUGUCAUUAGUUGCCAUCAUUUAGUUGGGCACUCUAGUGAGACUGCCGGGGAUAACUCGGAGGAAGGUGGGGAUGACGUCAAAUCAUCAUGCCCCUUAUGUUCUGGGCUACACACGUGCUACAAUGGCCGGUACAAAGAGAUGCAAGACCGCGAGGUGGAGCAAAUCUUCAAAACCGGUCCCAGUUCGGAU